CGGCGGACGGGUGAGUAACACGUGGAUAACCUACCUAUAAGACUGGGAUAACUUCGGGAAACCGGAGCUAAUACCGGAUAAUAUAUUGAACCGCAUGGUUCAAUAGUGAAAGACGGUUUUGCUGUCACUUAUAGAUGGAUCCGCGCCGCAUUAGCUAGUUGGUAAGGUAACGGCUUACCAAGGCCAACGAUGCGUAGCCGACCUGAGAGGGUGAUCGGCACACUGGAACUGAGACACGGUCCAG
RNAcentral lists this ribosomal RNA (244 nucleotides) under uncultured Staphylococcus sp. RNAcentral's name for it is "partial 16S ribosomal RNA". It matches the Rfam family "Bacterial small subunit ribosomal RNA", at positions 96 to 334 of the family's 1533-position model. The record is from RNAcentral. Lineage: Bacteria; Bacillati; Bacillota; Bacilli; Caryophanales; Staphylococcaceae.